RNAcentral lists this long non-coding RNA (1292 nucleotides) under Prunus dulcis (almond). Its description in RNAcentral is "sRNA ncRNA". Lineage: Eukaryota; Viridiplantae; Streptophyta; Magnoliopsida; Rosales; Rosaceae. The record is from RNAcentral.
AAAAAAACUUAUCAGUCAAUUCUUGGUAGCACAGCAGACAUGUCUGCAUUAUCGUUUCUUCGUGUUUCAACUUUUGGGUAGUCCCUGCAUUUCUUAAUGCAUGCUUCUUUAGCUUUUUCUUGUAGAAACAGGCCAAAAACACACUGCCUUUUUUUCCCGUUGAAAGUUUAACCAAACAUGCAUAAGCUAACCACAACUUUACACUUCAUUUUGCUACAUUAUUUUACAAUAUUUCUAUAAAGAAGACUCCACCUUCAUCAAUCUCCAGAGAAAGCAAAAAGGGCCCCUGCUAAAUGAACAAUUAUUGGAAGCUUAUGAAAGCAAAGAACUUUGUUACCAUCUCCAUAAAGCAAACCCACCACCUCCUCCUAAUACCUUUCCUCUCUUUUAUCCCACUGUCUUCUUUCUCGCUAAGUUUAGCAUCCCUGUCUCCUUCUUCACUAAGAUAAUAGGAUCCAUCCUUCUACAUAUUAAGAAACAUCAUAACAGUCUGUUUAUCUAUUUCAAAGUCUCAAGUUUCCUUACCUCCAUUCCAUUUUGGGGGGAGAGAGAGAGAGAGAGAGAGAGAGAGAGAGAGAGAGAGAGAGAGAGACCGAGAGAGAGAGAUACGGACAGAGACAGAGGCAUAGAGAGAUGGGUGCUGAUUGGGGACCAGUCAUUGUUGCUGUGGUCUUGUUCAUCCUCCUUUCGCCAGGGCUGCUAUUCCAAUUACCGGCAAGAACUAGGGUAAUGGAGUUCGGAAACAUGAUGACAAGUGGGAUUGCUAUUCUGGUUCAUGCUGUCAUAUACUUCUGCAUACUGACCAUCUUGAUCAUAGCAAUUGGUAUUCACAUACAUGUCAACUAGUCCAUAUCAUUUUCAGCCACCACCCACAGUGGUGUUUGUUCUUUUCUUUUAAUUUUUUUCUGAAGUGAUUCUUCCUCUUUCUACUACUGUGCUCCUUCUUUAAUGUUGUCCUGCUACCUGAUUGGUUUAGUUCACUUCACACUCGGCAUUGACACAUUGUAAAGGAGCAUCUCAAUGAAUUGGUUCAUAACAUCAAUCAGGCUCAACAACACAAGGUUGUUCCAUAUUGAGUUUGAUCUGACUUAGUUUCCAAUCUAUAUUGUUUAAGUUUUAUAGUAUCAGUGGCUACACAGAAAGAUCUAUCUGUAAUAAACCUACUUUUAUGGAGUUGCUUAUCAUUUUAACACGAAGCAUUGUCAUCCAAGCAUGUGUAAGAACCUAAGGGGCAAAAUAUCUAGACAAAGAUCUAUCUUUUCUAUGGGUAUUGUGAAACCAUGCACUUAGAG